RNAcentral lists this ribosomal RNA (253 nucleotides) under uncultured bacterium. RNAcentral's name for it is "partial 16S ribosomal RNA". It matches the Rfam family "Bacterial small subunit ribosomal RNA", at positions 524 to 776 of the family's 1533-position model. The record is from RNAcentral.
UACGAAGGGGGCUAGCGUUGUUCGGAAUUACUGGGCGUAAAGCGCGUGUAGGCGGGUCUUUAAGUCAGGGGUGAAAUGCCAGGGCUCAACCUUGGAACUGCCUUUGAUACUGGAGACCUUGAGUCCGGGAGAGGUGAGUGGAAUUGCGAGUGUAGAGGUGAAAUUCGUAGAUAUUCGCAAGAACACCAGUGGCGAAGGCGGCUCACUGGCCCGGAACUGACGCUGAGGUGCGAAAGCGUGGGGAGCAAACAGG